UCCUGGCCAUGCUAGACUCUUCCCAUCUGGA
This 31-nucleotide non-coding RNA is filed under the name Homo sapiens (human). The record is from RNAcentral. Lineage: Eukaryota; Metazoa; Chordata; Mammalia; Primates; Hominidae.